UACGUAGGGACCGAGCGUUGUCCGGAAUCAUUGGGCGUAAAGAGCGUGUAGGCGGCUAUUUAAGUCCUGCGUGAAAUCCUGCGGCUCAACCGCAGACGGUCGUGGGAAACUGGAUGGCUAGAGUGUGGGAGAGGAGAGUGGAAUUCCCGGUGUAGCGGUGAAAUGCGCAGAUAUCGGGAAGAACACCCGUGGCGAAGGCGGCUCUCUGGAACGCAACUGACGCUGAGACGCGAAAGCGUGGGGAGCAAACAGG
RNAcentral lists this ribosomal RNA (253 nucleotides) under uncultured bacterium. RNAcentral's name for it is "partial 16S ribosomal RNA". It matches the Rfam family "Bacterial small subunit ribosomal RNA", at positions 524 to 776 of the family's 1533-position model. The record is from RNAcentral.